This 261-nucleotide ribosomal RNA is filed under the name uncultured prokaryote. Its description in RNAcentral is "partial 16S ribosomal RNA". It matches the Rfam family "Bacterial small subunit ribosomal RNA", at positions 524 to 784 of the family's 1533-position model. The record is from RNAcentral.
UACGGAGGAUCCAAGCGUUAUCCGGAUUUAUUGGGUUUAAAGGGUGCGCAGGCGGAAGAUUAAGUCGGCGGUGAAAUUUUGCAGCUCAACUGUAAAAGUGCCAUCGAUACUGGUUUUCUUGAGUGUGGAUGAAGUAGGCGGAAUUUGUGGUGUAGCGGUGAAAUGCAUAGAUAUCACGAGGAACUCCGAUUGCGCAGGCAGCUUACUAGGCCAUAACUGACGCUCAGGCACGAAGGCGUGGGGAUCAAACAGGAUUAGAUA